AGUGAUUAGUGACUUGUUUAACGUUGAUGUCCAAAAUUUAAAUAUUCGCGGCUGUUACGCCUGUCGGCUUAACUAGUCUUUGCCAAUUGCCAACAACUAUACUUUAUUACUGUCUGGCUUUAGCACAUGGAAAUAAGAAAGCAUUAACUUUUAUACUCACCUAUAAAAGUUCCCAAAGCAAAAGGCACCAAUGGAACUCCAAUGACUGGUGCAGUCAAGUUAAUAAACCAGUUGGGUAAAAAUGGUGUGACCCUCAAAAAUAUCAUGUAAUUGAGCAAAUUGUGUUUGUGCUUUUCCACAGCAAUGGACCACUGUGCUG
Long non-coding RNA from Pieris rapae (cabbage white), 319 nucleotides. RefSeq lists it as uncharacterized. The transcript is spliced from 2 exons. Lineage: Eukaryota; Metazoa; Arthropoda; Insecta; Lepidoptera; Pieridae. The record is from RefSeq and is a predicted model, not a curated record.